RNAcentral lists this ribosomal RNA (379 nucleotides) under uncultured eukaryote. RNAcentral describes it as "partial 18S ribosomal RNA". It matches the Rfam family "Eukaryotic small subunit ribosomal RNA", at positions 592 to 976 of the family's 1831-position model. The record is from RNAcentral.
CAAUAGCGUAUAUUAAAGUUGUUGCAGUUAAAAAGCUCGUAGUUGAACUUCAGACGUGGUCCGGCGGUCCGCCUCACGGUGUGUACUGUCGGGCUGUGUCUUACCUCUUGGUGAGCCGGCAUGCUCUUUAUUGGGUGUGUCGGGGAACCAGGACUUUUACCUUGAGAAAAUUAGAGUGUUCAAAGCAGGCCUACGCCCGAAUACAUUAGCAUGGAAUAAUAAAAUAGGACGCGCGGUUCUAUUUUGUUGGUUUCUAGAGUCGCCGUAAUGAUUAAUAGGGAUAGUUGGGGGCAUUUGUAUUGCGUUGCUAGAGGUGAAAUUCUUGGAUUUACGCAAGACAAACUACUGCGAAAGCAUUUGCCAAGGAUGUUUUCAUUAA